Molecule: ribosomal RNA, 233 nt
Filed under: uncultured microorganism
Description: partial 16S ribosomal RNA
Rfam family: Bacterial small subunit ribosomal RNA
Source: RNAcentral
GUAGUUUGAUCUUGGCUCAGGAUGAACGCUGGCGGCGUGCCUAAUACAUGCAAGUCGAGCGAACGGACGAGAAGCUUUGCUUCUCUGAUGUUAGCGGCGGACGGGUGAGUAACACGUGGAUAACCUACCUAUAAGACUGGGGUAACUUCGGGAAACCGGAGCUAAAUACCGGAUAAUAUUUUGAACCGCAUGGUUCAAAAGUGAAAGACGGUCUUGCUGUCACUUAUAGAUGG